Molecule: ribosomal RNA, 485 nt
Filed under: uncultured bacterium
Lineage: Bacteria
Description: partial 16S ribosomal RNA
Rfam family: Bacterial small subunit ribosomal RNA
Source: RNAcentral
UGGGGAAUUUUGGACAAUGGGCGAAAGCCUGAUCCAGCAAUGCCGCGUGUGUGAAGAAGGCCUUCGGGUUGUAAAGCACUUUUGUCCGGAAAAGAAAAUCCUUGGCUCUAAUACAGUCGGGGGAUGACGGUACCGGAAGAAUAAGCACCGGCUAACUACGUGCCAGCAGCCGCGGUAAUACGUAGGGUGCAAGCGUUAAUCGGAAUUACUGGGCGUAAAGCGUGCGCAGGCGGUUUGCUAAGACCGAUGUGAAAUCCCGGGCUCAACCUGGGAACUGCAUUGGUGACUGGCAGGCUAGAGUAUGGCAGAAGGGGUAGAAUUCCACGUGUAGCAGUGAAAAUGCGUAGAGAUGUGGAGGAAUACCGAUGGCGAAGGCAGCCCCCGGGCCAAUACUGACGCUCAUGCACGAAAAGCGUGGGGAGCAAAACAGGAUUAGAUACCCUGGUAGUCCACGCCCUAAAACGAUGUCAACUAGUUGUUGGGGA